RNAcentral lists this ribosomal RNA (433 nucleotides) under uncultured bacterium. RNAcentral describes it as "partial 16S ribosomal RNA". It matches the Rfam family "Bacterial small subunit ribosomal RNA", at positions 29 to 507 of the family's 1533-position model. The record is from RNAcentral.
AGCGAACGCUGGCGGCAGGCUUAACACAUGCAAGUCGAGCGGGCCCUUCGGGGUCAGCGGCGGACGGGUGAGUAACGCGUGGGAACGUGCCUUCUGGUCUGGAAUAACCCUGGGAAACUAGGGCUAAUACCGGAUACGCCCUUUUGGGGAAAGGUUUACUGCCGGAAGAUCGGCCCGCGUCUGAUUAGCUAGUUGGUGGGGUAACGGCCUACCAAGGCGACGAUCAGUAGCUGGUCUGAGAGGACGAUCAGCCACACUGGGACUGAGACACGGCCCAGACUCCUACGGGAGGCAGCAGUGGGGAAUAUUGGACAAUGGGCGCAAGCCUGAUCCAGCCAUGCCGCGUGAGUGAUGAAGGCCUUAGGGUUGUAAAGCUCUUUUAUCCGGGACGAUAAUGACGGUACCGGAGGAAUAAGCCCCGGCUAACUUCGUG